UUGCGUCAUGUUAAAAGCAUUGGUUAGAUAGGCGUAUUAUUGACAGUUUCCAUUCUGUAUCUAUUCUGUGGCUGUGUCCUUCUUGUAUCUUGUCCAGAAUCACCCCUCCUCAGCCUCAAUACAAUCACAUAAUCACAUUGCAGUUUUGAUUAGCUGUUUCAUCUUUCCUUGGUUUGUGAAAAGAAAAGAAAUCUAAAACAAAUAUCAUGGAAUCUAUUGUGAAGUCCGAGGGAAUCAGAAGAAUGGCUAGAAGACAUGGCAUCUGUUACUGUUAAAGAAGAAAUCGACAUAGAAUAUGGCAUGCCCUGGCUUGGCAAGCAGGAGUUUCCGGAUGAGGAACAGGCUACUGAUCAUUGAAUCAACAUACAAAAAUAUCAAAAGUAGCACCACAAGUUUCAAGAAUAAAUAACAUUGAAUCAAUGCUAGUUUUCAAUUACUUUGAAAACAUAAACUAGCAUUAAUUCAGAUGAAUCUGUGACUCAGAACGACGAUUUAGAUCCAAGGGCUUAUUUCAGUCCUGGGGGACUCUGUAAGUCCAGAACUUAUAAGUUAGAUCCUGAGCUUGAAAACCGGCCCUUAGAGUACUUAUAAUCAUUUUUUAUUUUGUUUCAAUCUCUUACAUAUUUGUCUCGCAAGUUAAUAAAUGAAAACAACAAUAACUGUUCAAGGUGUUAUUAUUUCAAUCUUAGCUUCAAAAACUUGAUGGAAUUAAUUUUUAAUUUACUGAAAGGAGCAAGAAGUGAAUUGAAUUGUGCAGUGACUGAUUAUUUUUGGUUGUGAAAAUUAAAUGUUAGGUAUUAAAGUUUGCAGAACCAGUGGUUUGGGUUAUGGGUGAUGUGGAAUGAGGUAUGGACAUAGCCUAUCUGUAUCAAUCAUCCUUGCUUGGAUUUGGCACAGUAUCUCAUUAGAGUGUAGAACUGAGUAUCGAGUUAUAUUUCAAUUUUAUUAGCUUUCAAUGGAAACAUUUUGCAAUAGCUCUGAAAUAUCAGUUUCGCAUGUAAGAAGUCAUUCAAUAUCACUGGAUUACAUUUUUCAUUUUUAAAAGAUAGAAAAAUCCUUUAUCAAAAUCUUCUUAAAUAUUUGCAUUACCCAUCUUAUUUUUGCUCAUUUAAUAAGUUUUACUGUUUCUUAUCACUUAUUAUUUUAAUCCCCCAGCCCCAAAUCAAUUGAAAUAUGAUAGACGUUUUCUUGAGCAGACUGUGACAAGGAAUGCAAAGACCAACAAUUCAUCACUUUAGAGUUGGGGUUUUCACAUCAAUUUCAAAUAGCAACCAACUAAAUAAUACAAGAGUUCAU
This is a long non-coding RNA of Nilaparvata lugens (brown planthopper), 1296 nucleotides long. RefSeq lists it as uncharacterized. NCBI's taxonomy places the organism in Eukaryota, Metazoa, Arthropoda, Insecta, Hemiptera, Delphacidae. The transcript has 3 exons. The record is from RefSeq and is a predicted model, not a curated record.